This 472-nucleotide ribosomal RNA is filed under the name uncultured Methanomicrobiales archaeon. Its description in RNAcentral is "bacterial SSU rRNA". It matches the Rfam family "Archaeal small subunit ribosomal RNA", at positions 871 to 1337 of the family's 1478-position model. Lineage: Archaea; Methanobacteriati; Methanobacteriota; Methanomicrobia; Methanomicrobiales. The record is from RNAcentral.
GACGGGGAGCACCACAACGGUGGAGCUUGUCGGUUUAAUUGGUAUUCAACGCCGGAAAUCUUACCGGGACCGACAGCAAUAUGAAGGCCAGGCUGAAGACUUUGCCGGAUUAGCUGAGAGGUGGUGCAUGGCCGUCGUCAGUUCGUACUGUGAAGCAUCCUGUUAAGUCAGGCAACGAGCGAGACCCACGCCAACAGUUGCCAGCUCGUCCUCCGGGAUGGUGGGGACACUGUUGGGACCGCCUCUGCUAAAGAGGAGGAAGGAAUGGGCAACGGUAGGUCAGCAUGCCCCGAAUUAUCUGGGCUACACGCGGGCUACAAUGGGUGGGACAAUGGGUAUCGACACCGAAAGGUGAAGGCAAUCUCCUAAACCCAUCCGUAGUUCGGAUUGUGGGCUGCAACUCGCCCACAUGAAGCUGGAAUCUGUAGUAAUCGUGUCUCAAAAUGGCACGGUGAAUAUGUCCCUGCUCCUU